RNAcentral lists this non-coding RNA (223 nucleotides) under Cupriavidus taiwanensis. Lineage: Bacteria; Pseudomonadati; Pseudomonadota; Betaproteobacteria; Burkholderiales; Burkholderiaceae. The record is from RNAcentral. RNAcentral also lists the same sequence under 2 other names.
AAAGUUCGAUACAGGAAAGGAAUAGCGAACCACCCUGGCCCCGAGUCAUGCGGCGGCACCCGCGAGGGUGCAGCCGAAGCGUUGACAGGGGAGAGUGCAGGCCAGCCAUUGAGCCGCGAAAUCAUUCUGUCUGGAGCGCCGACGCUGUUGAUCGAAGCGGAAGGCAACAUCGUCGAGGGCGCUAAACGCGAGUUCUCGGCGGGCUCCACGCGGUCGAAGACCC